RNAcentral lists this ribosomal RNA (442 nucleotides) under uncultured bacterium. Its description in RNAcentral is "partial 16S ribosomal RNA". It matches the Rfam family "Bacterial small subunit ribosomal RNA", at positions 339 to 795 of the family's 1533-position model. The record is from RNAcentral.
CUACGGGAGGCACCAGUGGGGAAUAUUGGACAAUGGGCCACAAGCCUGAUCCAGCAAUUCUGUGUGCACGAUGACGGUCUUCGGAUUGUAAAGUGCUUUCAGUUGGGAAGAAGAAAGUGACGGUACCAACAGAAGAAGCGACGGCUAAAUACGUGCCAGCAGCCGCGGUAAUACGUAUGUCGCAAGCGUUAUCCGGAUUUAUUGGGCGUAAAGCGCGUCUAGGCGGGAAAGAAAGUCUGAUGUUAAAAUGCGGGGCUCAACUCCGUAUUGCGUUGGAAACUCCUUUUCUAGAGUAUCAGAGAGGUGGGCGGAACUACAAGUGUAGAGGUGAUAUUCGUAGAUAUUUGUAGGAAUGCCGAUGGAGAAGUCAGCUCACUGGAUGAAUACUGACGCUAAAGCGCGAAAGCGUGGGGAGCAAACAGGAUUAGAUACCCUGGUAGUC